Molecule: non-coding RNA, 145 nt
Filed under: Planktothricoides sp. TH3
Lineage: Bacteria; Bacillati; Cyanobacteriota; Cyanophyceae; Oscillatoriales; Oscillatoriaceae
Source: RNAcentral
AUAUAGUUAACCCACAUCGGUUCUAGUGGGAAGUCAGCCACUAGAGGUAACGGGGAAAGUCUGGUGCAAAUCCAGCGCUGUCCCGCAACUGUGAUGAGGUGCUAUGUCUCUAAGUCAGGAUGCCCGCCGAAUGGACGUAGCAGCA